CUCUACGGCCAUACUACCCUGAAUGCUCCCGACCUCAUCUGAUCUUGGAAGCUAAGCCGGGUCAGGCCUGGUUAGUAGUUGGAUGGG
Molecule: ribosomal RNA, 87 nt
Filed under: Colobus angolensis palliatus
Lineage: Eukaryota; Metazoa; Chordata; Mammalia; Primates; Cercopithecidae
Source: RNAcentral